GGGAUCGGCGGAGGGGUAGACGGCGGGGCGGGCUGGGCGAGUGGGGCGGCGAGGCGGGCAGGGCGAGCGGGGGAAGGGUCGGCGAGUGGGGCGGGCAGUCGAGCGGCACCGGCUACUGGUGCGGUGGUCUCUGGCGCCUGGAACCGCGUCCGGACACGAGGGCUCACCACCAGGGAGGAGCAACGGUGGGGAGAGGAGACGGGACACAGCCUAGGCUCCGCACGCCCGCGCCUCCGCUCGAAGAGGUCGCCACCGGCGGUGGGAGAGCAGAGGAGUUAGGAGAAGUAUAGUAGGGCGCAAGAGCUAGAUGCGGCGGUGCACGACACCAAGACCUAACCCGCGUCCGACGGCGGUAACCUCUCAUCGCCGCCACUCCAGAAAUCGAGCCCACGCUCCUCGUCCCCCCACUCCACCUGCCACAACACCGCUUCUUUACUAACUACGCCAGCCGUCGCUCGCGGCCACUCGCUGCUCCUACGAUGGUAGAGAGGAUAUAGGAGGGUCUAAGAGCUAACCUGGCCCCCUGUCUGCGGCGGUGUCCGGUGGCCCCUGCGGAGACGUAACAGCAGCCGACCUGCUCCUUUUGUCGUUCUACGACCGGAUACGUAGCCUGCACCCGACGAAGUCGAAAUCCCCUCUAAACUGAUACCGCGUUCCAGGGGGUGAAGGAACAACACCGUGACGUCGCAGUACCCGGGAAGACUUCCCUCUCCCUCCGUGUAGCCUCCCACCAUCGUCCACGCAGAACGAUUUCGUUGGUCACCAACAGCACCGGACUUCGUCGUUCAUAACACCUCUAACUACCUGAUCCACGAACGUCGGCGUCAGGUAGCGCGAGAGCCAACGACUGGAACUCCAGGUCGCCGUUGACGGGCAGUGAAUCCCCUACGAAGAUUCGACGUUACGAGGUAUAGGCUACGUUAUAUAAAGACGAAAUAACUUCUCCUGAUUGAACACGACCCUUUCUAAGGACUUCCACUACAGUCUAGUAACCAUUUAUUGUUCCUUAGGAACCUUGGACAGUAGGACAUCAUAAACAGACGCUAUCCAUACGUAAGACAUGUCGAUUCGUCUCAUAAGGUCUAACUCAUUACGAUCUCUAUGUUUGUAUAAUAUAUGAGGGAGGAAGGUAGAUAUAUCCCGGAUUACGUAAAAAAUUCUGGCGCAAACUGAUAACUGUUCUAAUUAUCAUGUACUGUACGUGUUACACUUUUAAUAUAGUAACUUUCGAGGAAAGUGUGUGCUUAAAUUGCUGCACGAAACACAUUCAACGUACAGUAUAUAACAACGAGAUUAUAAACCAGUUUCAAUCGGAACUUUUUGUGUAAUCCGGGAUAUAUCUACCUUCCUCCCUCAUAUGUAAAAUUACGAAAUCGAAGGUAUCACUCUCGUUCAACGUUCUGGUCUACGGUACGCCAGAAUGACGCUCGAGCAGGUCAAGUACCACUGAACCACUACUGAGUUUAGGUGGAUGGAGAAAGAGAGGCACAGAGGAAAACAACGACAAACAACCUUGAAACCUAACGCGACCGAACUACCGACAAAGCCUAAUUAGUUUCCUAAAACAAAUCGAAUCAAAGUAAUGCCCGUUCUGAUUCUAUCAGCAAGAAAUCACACCCAAUUUAAUUAGUCCCCUAAACUUCUUGCCAAGUUAACUAGACAUGAUUCGUUUGGACACACGAACGUUAGUGCAUACCAAAAUCGGUACAACGACGAUCUUUCGAAGGAAGUUAACUUGGCUAGAAGAGUCAUCGAUUACCUCGCGUAACCGUCCUUGUCUCACCGGUUGACUUAGACUAUCAGACCAAAGAAACAUGAGUAUAGAACAUCUCAUCAAAGGAUUGACUAACAAACCGUUGUUCAUAAAACUUCUUGAGUUUGAGUACCAUUGUUUACUUGAUCGUUUCUCUCGGUAAAUAUGGAGAGAAGACAUUCUAUUAGGGCACUUCCUGUGUGUGUAUUUUCGGUACUUCCUACUUCUUUCUUAAUAACUAGAUAAUAAUACAAAGAAGAAACGUUUAUAUAACGAUACCAACAAUCGCUACAUAUGCGGGCUCACCCGAUUACAUAUCAACAUAACCAAAUCGAAUAGCUGGAACGGCGCAAGUACAAAAAUAAAGGAAAACAAGUACUACUAACAAAAAAAACACGUCUGGAUCUAACAUCCUAACGUACUCAACCCCGAACGCUAACGGGUAACACCACGUGUCCAUCUAACAUCCUACAUGAACGGCUUUACUCGUACCAGCGGUACGAUUAACAAGUUUAUAAGAUACCAAUAAAGUCACGAAUAGAGUCAAUGAACUAAAGAAAACGUCAUGACGGUCCCCACCGACAAACAAAUGACGUCCCCCACAACUAGACGACGGGGUAAUAAACUAAUGUACAAACUACGAGAGGUUUUUUACGAUGUUUCUUAGUAUUCUUUGAAGAGCACUAUCUAAAUGGUAAUCCCUAUAACGGUUUACAAAUGAAGAUUAAGUAAUCGUAUAGGAGACAAAAAAAAUUAAUUAACAACGGAGGACAAAAAACAAAUAGAAUCGGAAGACCACGAAAACCACAUACCCGUUUUGUCCAGUCUCAUGUUUCACCACUUAACGUAAAGUGUACGGUUCUAUUUGUUUCUUAUUUUUUUCUUUUGUACCAUAAGAGAUUGUGUUCUCGUACUAUGGAACCCAGGUAACCACGUCUGGUUCUCUAUUCUUGAUGAAUACGACGUUAUCAAAGUCACCUUCAUAUCAGUCCACAAAUUAACAAAAAAAUGUCAAAAUCGAUUAACCGACCCAUAGGUGAAAUAGAAAACACGAACGUGUAUAUUAGCUAAGAGACCAGGUAUGAACGUACAAGAGAUUAAUAGAACCUCACGAACGUUCAUUAAUCUUGUAUAGAACCAGGUAUGAACGUAAUCUUAUACGGUGUAUCUUCCUACACCGUAUAGAACCUUAUUCUUACCGGUGUGCUCGUAAAACAGUACUAUAACAUUACUCACCAGCUAUGAACACCGUCACGAUGUUACCACGAUACAACGUACAAACGUGUUCUACGGACAUUUAAGAACUAGAAGCAGCACGGAGGACGAAUGAUAAUCAAGUUAACUCGGGUUAGAAAGACCAGCAUAACGAUGCGCGAAUACUAAUCAACGAGAUAAAGAACCAACAACAUAACAUCCUAUCCCUCCGUCUUCUCUCCUGUACGGCCCCUUACUUCCUCUUGUUUGUCACAGAGUCCGUGUGUUCGAUUUCCAAGUGGUUCAAGACCCUUUCUUUUCAAAGGGAUCUGUACACCGCCACCGACAGUUCUGUUCUCGCCGCGACACUCGCUGUCGGGAGCUAGCAGAAGGAACACCUUAGUCCAUGCGCAGCAGGUAGUACCCACAACCGCCCACCGGCCUCCGCCGAUGUAGUCCGGUCACAGGCACUAGUUCUGACUGUGGCCCUUCCGACGGCCAGAUGUCAACACGUGAGUUAAGUUUACUAAUAAGAGGCAAGAAACGGAGUCUUGAUGUAUACUCUCCAUGUUUCCCAACCGGUUCUAUGAGUUAAUUCGAUAAGCUAAAUUCCAGGAAACGACUACAACCAACACAGGAACGACGAACCUCUCCCCCACUCCCGUCUCCUGAAACUACGGUCUUUAUCCACUCAUAAAAGUCCAGGUGAUGUGGUUUCUUUUCGACUUUCUCAUGUAGUUUGGUCUACUACUGUGUGAGUUCCAGUUCGAGCGUUUGUCGUCAGACGUGUGGUCAACAGCAUAGUACGACCCUUGUCUGUUCUCUCGGUGUUAUUGGUCUUUGACCAGUCUCAAGACGGUGGCACGUUUGUAGGUACUUCCUACAUAGACGCGGAAAACAAAGUUCCAAUGGCAUCUCGUGGCGGACUGAGAGUAGCAGGUACAAGAGAUCUGCCUGGUAGAUGUCGUUGGGUACGGAAAACGUACGUAUCGGACAGCAGAAUUCUAGAUUAAACGGAGAUACUAUUCUACUUGGAAUGGACACCAACGGCUGCUACGGUAUGCAACGAAAACAUGUUGACGACCACUAUAAUAUUGGAUACAUUGGGGUCAAUAAUAAUGGGCCGUCGUGUAGGUAGAUAACUAGAAUGCAUACUAAAAGAUAGCAACGACGAAAGGAG
Molecule: ribosomal RNA, 4127 nt
Filed under: Triticum aestivum (bread wheat)
Lineage: Eukaryota; Viridiplantae; Streptophyta; Magnoliopsida; Poales; Poaceae
Description: partial small subunit ribosomal RNA
Source: RNAcentral